Molecule: long non-coding RNA, 860 nt
Organism: Leptopilina heterotoma
Lineage: Eukaryota; Metazoa; Arthropoda; Insecta; Hymenoptera; Figitidae
Exons: 4
Source: RefSeq, a predicted model, not a curated record
AAUGAGUCCCAGUUGCGAAGAUGCAUCCAACUUCAUCAGGAAGUAAUAUGGUUAAUAUAGUUUAAUGUGCAUUAAUUUCUAAUAUAUUUAAAAGAAGGAUAGUCGCUUGUAGGGAGCAUCGUUAGCAACAAAACCUCUCGACAUACAGUUGCUCAAUGGAACCUUCCCUCACAAACGACGAUAAAUAUUAAAAAUAUUAAAGCUUUUAAUAUUUAUAGGUUUGUAGAUUUAAUAAAUACAACAUCACGUUACAUCGUUCUUAAAACAACUUUGGCUGUCUUUCUGUAUCUAACUUUGGGAUUUUUUCAACUUCUUCACCAAACAGAAGUUGUUGAACCUCUUUUAAUUCACCAGUUUUUAUUGGUAAUAAUAGUUGUGAACUACAGAGUAUACUUUGGAACUCAGUGUGCAGAUGCUUUAUCUUCAGCUCAGCUUAUAGUCCAUAUUGAAAUUUGUAUGCGGAAAUCAAAAAAAUAUAUUUUGCAUUUAAGGGAGAGAAAUUGCAAUAUUCAAUACCAUGGUCAGGACAGUCUGCAGGAGUAUCAAAGUCUAUAUACAUAAUCAUUCAAAGGUGUCAAAAACCAUUGAUUAUAUCAGUUUCUGGUGUAAUCGCUCAAUAUUCUUCUUGGUACUACGGAAGCUUUCUAUAUAGAACGUUCUCUUACUUUCUAACAUUAAAAGCUGUGCUUGGACUAUAAGAAUAAAAACCUUUAUUGUAAUAUUUUCAUUGUUGGAAUUAUAACAACGAAAAUUAUAAAUAUACACGGAGUGAAUUGUAGUGUGAAUAUAUUCCAUCGGUGUAACUAGGAAGCAAAUGUAAAAUUCCAAAUCGCUCAUUUUUCCUAUAUACUAACCCUAUG